This 351-nucleotide unclassified non-coding RNA is filed under the name soil metagenome. RNAcentral's name for it is "partial contains 5.8S ribosomal RNA, internal transcribed spacer 2, and large subunit ribosomal RNA". The stretch from base 1 to 120 matches the Rfam family "5.8S ribosomal RNA", at positions 35 to 154 of the family's 154-position model. The record is from RNAcentral.
GAUGAAGAACGUAGCGAAAUGCGAUAAGUAGUGUGAAUUGCAGAAUUCAGUGAAUCAUCGAAUCUUUGAACGCACAUUGCGCCCGCCAGUAUUCUGGCGGGCAUGCCUGUCUGAGCGUCAUUUCAACCCUCAGCCCCCGCUCGCGGGGCGCUGGCGUUGGGGAUCGGCCGUCCUCGCGGCGGCCGGCCCCGAAACACAGUGGCGGUCUCUCGCGGACUCCCCUGCGUAGUAGCACUACCUCGCAGAAGGGACGAGCGGGCUGACCACGCCGUAAAACCCCCCACUUCUCCAGGUUGACCUCAGAUCAGGUAGGAAUACCCGCUGAACUUAAGCAUAUCAAUAAGCGGAGGA